GAGUUUGAUCCUGGCUCAGGAUGAACGCUGGCGGCGUGCUUAACACAUGCAAGUCGAACGGGAAAUAUUUCAUUGAGACUUCGGUGGAUUUGAUCUAUUUCUAGUGGCGGACGGGUGAGUAACGCGUGGGUAACCUGCCUUAUACAGGGGGAUAACAGUCAGAAAUGGCUGCUAAUACCGCAUAAGCGCACAGAGCUGCAUGGCUCAGUGUGAAAAACUCCGGUGGUAUAAGAUGGACCCGCGUUGGAUUAGCUUGUUGGUGGGGUAACGGCCCACCAAGGCGACGAUCCAUAGCCGGCCUGAGAGGGUGAACGGCCACAUUGGGACUGAGACACGGCCCAGACUCCUACGGGAGGCAGCAGUGGGGAAUAUUGCACAAUGGGGGAAACCCUGAUGCAGCGACGCCGCGUGAAGGAAGAAGUAUCUCGGUAUGUAAACUUCUAUCAGCAGGGAAGAUAAUGACGGUACCUGACUAAGAAGCCCCGGCUAACUACGUGCCAGCCGCCGCGGUAAUUC
Molecule: ribosomal RNA, 516 nt
Filed under: uncultured bacterium
Lineage: Bacteria
Description: bacterial SSU rRNA
Rfam family: Bacterial small subunit ribosomal RNA
Source: RNAcentral